GGUUUAAUUCGAAGCAACGCGAGAACCUUACCAGGCCUUGACAUGCAGAGAACUUUCAGAGAUGGAUUGGUGCCUUCGGGAACUCUGACACAGGUGCUGCAUGGCUGUCGUCAGCUCGUGUCGCGAGAUGUUGGGUUAAGUCCGUAACGAGCGCAACCCUUGUCCUUAGUUACCAGCACGUUAUGGUGGGCACUCUAAGGAGACUGCCGGUGACAAACCGGAGGAAGUGGGGAUGACGUCAAGUCAUCAUGGCCCUUACGGCCUGGGCUACACACGUGCUACAAUGGUCGGUACAAAGGGUUGCCAAGCCGCGAGGUGGAGCUAAUCCCAUAAAACCGAUCGUAGUCCGGAUCGCAGUCUGCAACUCGACUGCGUGAAGUCGGAAUCGCUAGUAAUCGUGAAUCAGAAUGUCACGGUGAAUACGUUCCGGCCUU
Molecule: ribosomal RNA, 434 nt
Filed under: uncultured Pseudomonas sp.
Lineage: Bacteria; Pseudomonadati; Pseudomonadota; Gammaproteobacteria; Pseudomonadales; Pseudomonadaceae
Description: bacterial SSU rRNA
Rfam family: Bacterial small subunit ribosomal RNA
Source: RNAcentral